UCCAGCUUAUCGCUGGCGGUCUCCGAAGAGCGCCCGCUUUCACGGGUUUCACCCUGCAUGUCAAGCCCAGGUAAGGUUCUUCGCGUUGCAUCGAAUUAAGCCGCAUGCUCCGCCGCUUGUGCGGGCCCCCGUCAAUUCCUUUGAGUUUUAGCCUUGCGGCCGUACUCCCCAGGCGGGGUGCUUAAUGCGUUAGCUUCGGCACGGACGGGGUUGAUAUCCGCCCACACCUAGCACCCAACGUUUACGGCUGGGACUAC
RNAcentral lists this unclassified non-coding RNA (257 nucleotides) under uncultured Actinomycetes bacterium. Its description in RNAcentral is "uncultured actinobacterium contains 16S-23S intergenic spacer region". Lineage: Bacteria; Bacillati; Actinomycetota; Actinomycetes. The record is from RNAcentral.